GGCUGCUCCACAGAGUGAGUUAGUUACCUCAGUCAGUUACAGCUGAACUCCUUGUUCCACUCUUUAUCCCUUCUCACUACUGCACUUGACUAGUCUUUA
Molecule: unclassified non-coding RNA, 99 nt
Organism: Cercocebus atys (sooty mangabey)
Lineage: Eukaryota; Metazoa; Chordata; Mammalia; Primates; Cercopithecidae
Rfam family: Y RNA
About the family: Y RNAs are components of the Ro ribonucleoprotein particle (Ro RNP), in association with Ro60 and La proteins. The Y RNAs and Ro60 and La proteins are well conserved, but the function of the Ro RNP is not known.
Source: Ensembl